GGGAGUGAGAGGGCAGAGAGCCGGGGCAUGAGGGAGGUGGACAGAGUGGUCGGGAUUUACUGGGCGUGAAGGGGGCGGAGGCGGGCGUGCAAGUCGAGUGUGAAAGCCCCAGGCUCAGCUGGGGAGGGUCAUUCGAUACUGAUCGACUUGAAGGCAGGAGAGGGAAGUGGAAUUCCCGGUGUAGUGGGGAAAUGCGUAGAUAUCGGGAGGAACACCAGUGGCGAAGGCGACUUCCUGGCCUGUUCUUGACGCUGAGGCGCGAAAGCUAGGGGAGCAAACGGGAUUAGAUACCCGGUAGUC
This 300-nucleotide ribosomal RNA is filed under the name uncultured Bacillus sp. RNAcentral's name for it is "bacterial SSU rRNA". The stretch from base 53 to 300 matches the Rfam family "Bacterial small subunit ribosomal RNA", at positions 547 to 795 of the family's 1533-position model. The record is from RNAcentral. Lineage: Bacteria; Bacillati; Bacillota; Bacilli; Caryophanales; Bacillaceae.